CGGAGACUGUGCGUGCCUGCCAGUAUUGUCAAAGUAGAGGGAAAGUGCAGAAAUGACACCUGCCAGCACCAGGGAGACUCUCAAAACACCCCUGCCAUUCUGGAAGAUACUUUAAGGGAAGUCCUGAGGGGUUUGACACUUUUCAUCCUCCAGCCAUUAAUCAUCUUAUAGGGAAAGGCUGUAUAUUGGUAGGAGUAAAGUGCCAGCAGUUCCUGGCCGGGUGAUAGUCCAGCUGAGGGUGUCUGACUGACAGCAUGUUGGCACCAGCAUUGAAGGGAGUGAUGGGCUUUGGCUCCAGGUUCCUGUCCUGAGACCACAGCAGGAUGUGCCUUGGACAAAGGCUUGGAUUCCUGGAUCAUCUGGUGACUUCAAGUAUCUGGUCUCAGGGUGGUGAACUUUUUCUCUGAAUUCCUAACCUGUGAGCUUAUGAUGAUGGUGCCUGUCAAUUAACUGAACAACUGUGAGAAAACUAUAGUUCGUAAUGAAGACACUGUAUACUGAACAUCUUGAUGAAAAGUCAGAAGAUUGAGCUGGCAUAAAUCAACACAUGAAUCUAGAAGCCUGCAGGUGGAAUGAAGAGCAAAGUUUAUCCAU
Molecule: long non-coding RNA, 594 nt
Organism: Nyctereutes procyonoides (raccoon dog)
Lineage: Eukaryota; Metazoa; Chordata; Mammalia; Carnivora; Canidae
Exons: 8
Source: RefSeq, a predicted model, not a curated record